This 1466-nucleotide ribosomal RNA is filed under the name uncultured Bordetella sp. RNAcentral describes it as "partial 16S-23S ribosomal RNA intergenic spacer". It matches the Rfam family "Bacterial small subunit ribosomal RNA". The record is from RNAcentral. Lineage: Bacteria; Pseudomonadati; Pseudomonadota; Betaproteobacteria; Burkholderiales; Alcaligenaceae.
AGUUUGAUCAUGGCUCAGAUUGAACGCGCUGGCGGGAUGCUUACAUGCAAGUCGAACGGCAGCACGGACUUCGGUCUGGUGGCGAGUGGCGAACGGGUGAGUAAUGUAUCGGAACGUGCCUAGUAGCGGGGGAUAACUACGCGAAAGCGUAGCUAUUACAUACGCCCUUCGAGGAAAAGCGGGGGACCUUCGGGCCUCACUAUUAGAGCGGCCGAUAUCGGAUUAGCUAGUUGGUGGGGUAACGGCUCACCAAGGCGACGAUCCGUAGCUGGUUUGAGGACGACCAACCACACUGGGACUGAGACCUGGCCCAGACUCCUGCAGGGAGGCAGCAGUGGGUACGGACAAUGGGGAAACCCUGAUCCAGCCAUCCCGCGUGUGCGAUGAAGGCCUUCGGGUUGUAGCACUUUUGGCAGGAAAGAAACGGCACGGGAUAAUACCCGUUACGCUGACCGUACCUGCAGAAUAAGCACCGGCUAACUACGUGCCAGCAGCCGCGGUAAUACGUAAGUGCAAGCGUUAAUCGAAUUACUGGGCGUAAAGCGUGCGCAGGCGGUUCGGAAGAAGAUGUGAAAUCCCAGAGCUUAACUUUGGAACUGCAUUUUUAACUACGAGCUAGAGUGUGUCAGAGGAAGGUGGAAUUCCGCGAUGUAGCAGUGAAAUGCGUAGAUAUGCGGAGGAACACCGAUGGCGAAGGCAACCUCCUGGGAUAACACUGACGCUCAUGCACGAAAAGCGUGGGGAGCAAACGAGUUAGAUACCCUGGUAGUCCACGCCCUAAACGAUGUCAACUAGCUGUUGGGGCCUUCGGGCGCUGGUAACAGCCUAACGCGUGAAGUUGACCGCCUGGGGAAUUACGGUCGCAAGAUUAAAACUCAAGGAAUUGACGGGGACCCGCACAAGCGGUGGAUGAUGUGGAUUAAUUCGAUGCAACGCGAAAAACCUUACCUACCCUUGACAUGUCUGGAAUCCCGAAGAGAUUUGGGAGUGCUCGCAAAGAACCGGAACACAGGUGCUGCAUGGCUGUCGUCAGCUCGUGUCGUGAGAUGUUGGGUUAAGUCCCGCAACGAGCUGGCCCUUGUCGUGGUUGCUGAAAGGGCACUCUAAUGAGACUGCCGGUGACAAACCGGAGGAAGGUGGGGAUGACGUCAAGUCCUCAUGGCCCUUAUGGGUAGGGCUUCACACGUCAUACAAUGGUCGGGACAAGAGGUCGCCAACCCGCGAGGGGGAGCCAAUCCCAGAAACCCGAUCGUGAGCCGGAUCGCAGUCUGCAACUCAUUUGCGUGAAGUCAGAAUCGCUAGUAAUCGCGGAUCAGCAUGUCGCGGUGAAUACGUUCCCGGGUCUUGUACACACCGCCCGUCACACCAUGGGAGUGGGUCUCGCCAGAAGUAGGUAGCCUAACCGUAUAAGGGAGGGCGCUUACCACGGCGGGGUUCGUGACUGGGGUGAAGUCGUAACAAGGUAA